UCAUCCAUUCAUGGAGGGGAUUUGUCAAAUAAUGGCACAGAUAAGACCGAAUCAAGAAUUUCUUCAAUGUUACAAUAUCUUCCUACUCUUAAAAAUAUUGUAAUUAUUAUUUGCGCGCUAACAGCUGUUCUCAUCACGUGCUUGGUAAUCAAAGUGAUCAGAUCUGGACGGAGAAUCAGGAAAACACGAAAGUAUGACAUAAUCACGACACCAGCAGAGCGAGUAGAGAUGGCUCCUUUGAAUGAGGAGAAUGAUGAUGAAGAGGACUCCACCCUCUUUGAUGUCAAGUACAGGUGAAUGCCAGCAUUAAACAGAGGAUGUUGGAUUUUGAACGCACCAUUUUCUCCAGUGGGAACACAACCCAAGGAUAUGUUUCCUAAAGCUGUUUCCUGAUAUAUUCAGUGUUUGGUAACUUCAGUUAAGUCUAGUCAAGUUACCCAUCUCACCCAAUAUUUGCAGAAGAGGUUACCUCGGUGGUCUUGUUUUCUAGAAUGUAUUCUGAUUGUGAACAUGCUGUAUUUACAAUCAUUUUGUACACAUCAUACACAUCUAAUGCAGAAGACUCAUCUUCAGAGGGAUACUGCCCCCAGCUAGCUCAGUAAAUGCAUAUCUUCUUUAAGCUAAAACUAAAUACAUAGAGAACAUUUGAUGGCUUCUGCGUAAAGGCAAUCCUCUGGCUAUCCUCUAAUGCUUAUGGUAUAUUAUUCACUGUAAUAUUAGAUGCAUUCCUCAGAUAAUUAUUUUCAUAUGUAUGGUUUGCACACUGAAGAAUACGUAUUUACUAGUUUGGUGCAAAGAUUAUUUUAAUUGUCAACUAUUCGGCUAUUCCAAAUAUUACACUAACCACUAAAACAUGCAUACACUGUAUAUUGUCUGAGGCUUUCUGUCCUCUGUCUCGUGGUUGGUUUGGGUGCAUAUGUUUUACUGUAUGUGUUUGAGAGUCUCCCAGUUUGCUGCUAUCUCUAACUGGGGGUUGGUUAAGGUUUUAAGUGCAUAUAAGUAUAGUGGAAAGCCGGUCAUAGAAUAGACUUUGCAGGGUAUUGAAAAUAAAUGUAUGUUUCUCAAAAGCUGGAUUGUAAAAGAAAAAUACAUAUAUGUAAGAAUGUGUGUGUGUAUGUGUGUGUGUGUGUGUGUGUGUGUGUAUAUAUAUAUAUAUAUAUAUAUAUAUAUAUAUACACACACACACACAUAAAGUAGCUCAUCUUUUUCUAUCGAUACAACCUUGCAAGACAUGUUUCAGCCCCCAAGGAAUGGAUAAAGGGUAAUUUUGCAUGUACACUGCUUUUUAAUUGGACCAUACCUCAGUAAAUGUACACUACCCCAAACCUAAAACCCAUUGUUGAACACAAGUUACCCAUGGACUCAGGUGACCUUAUUUGGUUAACCAGUUUUGUUAUCUGAGAGAACCCUACACUAUCAACUACAGUAAAUGUAGGGGUUUUCAGGCCUGAUAAGUCAUACACCUGUAUGCAAAUAAUCAACUUUCCUACCUUUUUCCACAAGGGAAAUGUGUACUAACCCAUAGUAGAUAGCUGGAGCAUUUUGCAUACAAACAUUACAAGUUAAUUUUCUAUUAUGAAUAUUUUCAGAAUACAAUGUAUUGAUUCUAUUCACUGUUAUUAUAUGGUCAAAAGUAACACCAUUAAGGAACUCACCACUUUCUGUUCAUUCUUCCUAUGCCACAUUGACAGACGGCACAUUAUGAUUUAAAGCUGUUUACUUGUUUUCCAUCUAGAUUGAUAUAUUUUAGCCAGCAGUUAAAAUACAUUACUGUUGAAGAUUGACAGUAAGAUUCAAGUUUCCCAUUGUAUACUAAUAUAAAAAACUGUAGUCUAUUUCGUAUUUCAGUCAUCAGAGUAUUUUUAUUUAGAUAUUUUGUGUGUGAUUAAGUAAGCUUCAGUUUUCAGUAAUGCACAAUUGGCGUCUUGUUCCUUUGAUCGUAUUCUUGAUGUAUUUGUUUUAGAUAUUUUGUUGCUAGAACAUUUCCACCUUCAUCGUCCCUCUCCUUCUCAGCAAUUUAUCUCUUCUACAAUAUCCUCUCCAAAAGGAUAAUAGUGGGAAUGUUUCUGAUCUUCAGUGCAGUGUUUGAAUGUACAAGUCAUUUAUUUUUGGGCUUAUGUCUUGUAACAAUGUUCAUUAGAACUUUAUUGAGAACUUUUAUUUGAAAUUAAUCAUCUGGUUUAUGCAGCUUUUCAUCUUGUAAAUUAAAUGAAAUCUGCCAUGCUAUAUGUAGACCUUUACUAUUUACCCUCAUCCCAACUCUAAGCCAAAAAAGCUUAAGUCAGAAAACCAAUGUUUAACGCUUCUUUUAUAAAAUAUUGAAAGCAUGUCUACGCUUGGUUUUUCUGUCACAGAAAAUGUAGUUGUUAUCAACCCACUGGCUGGCUCCAUGGAUUUCCAUUUAUAUAAAACAACCAAAUAAAAUGACUCUCCCCUACCAUCAA
Molecule: long non-coding RNA, 2444 nt
Organism: Salmo salar (Atlantic salmon)
Lineage: Eukaryota; Metazoa; Chordata; Actinopteri; Salmoniformes; Salmonidae
Source: RefSeq, a predicted model, not a curated record